GAAAUAGGAUAGAAAGUCGGGCUAUGCCCCUUUGGAUCACAAGUUUUGUUUCAUGCUUCUGACAACCAACAUUCAUUAGCAUAAAACUAGAAUUUCAAAUUUAAGCUCGACAUGAAGUCAUCUUAAGUUGAGAAAACAAAAGAUGUAUAAGAGUAAUUGCUACAGCGGAAGUCUAACAUAUGAAUUUAACUCUAGCCUCAGCUCCG
This 206-nucleotide long non-coding RNA is filed under the name Salvia miltiorrhiza (redroot sage). RNAcentral describes it as "long non-coding RNA (SMIL_LNC011134)". Lineage: Eukaryota; Viridiplantae; Streptophyta; Magnoliopsida; Lamiales; Lamiaceae. The record is from RNAcentral.